AGUGAACGCUGGCGGUAGGCCUAACACAUGCAAGUCGAACGGCAGCACAGAGGAGCUUGCUCCUUGGGUGGCGAGUGGCGGACGGGUGAGGAAUACAUCGGAAUCUACUCUGUCGUGGGGGAUAACGUAGGGAAACUUACGCUAAUACCGCAUACGACCUACGGGUGAAAGCAGGGGAUCUUCGGACCUUGCGCGAUUGAAUGAGCCGAUGUCGGAUUAGCUAGUUGGCGGGGUAAAGGCCCACCAAGGCGACGAUCCGUAGCUGGUCUGAGAGGAUGAUCAGCCAAACUGGAACUGAGACACGGCCCAGACUCCUACGGGCGUCAGCAGUGGGGAAUAUUGGACAAUGGGCGCAAGCCUGAUCCAGCCAUACCGCGUGGGUGAAGAAGGCCUUCGGGUUGUAAAGCCCUUUUGUUGGGAAAGAAAUCCAUCUGGUUAAUACCCGGGUGGGAUGACGGUACCCAAAGAAUAAGCACCGGCUAACUUCGUGCCAGCCGCCGCCGUAA
RNAcentral lists this ribosomal RNA (506 nucleotides) under uncultured bacterium. RNAcentral's name for it is "partial 16S ribosomal RNA". It matches the Rfam family "Bacterial small subunit ribosomal RNA", at positions 29 to 523 of the family's 1533-position model. The record is from RNAcentral.